CCUACGGGUGGCAGCAGUGAGGAAUAUUGGUCAAUGGGCGAGAGCCUGAACCAGCCAAGUCGCGUGAAGGAUGACGGCCCUACGGGUUGUAAACUUCUUUUGUCAGGGAGCAAAAGACGCUACGCGUGGCGUUCCGCGCGUCCCCGAAGAAAAAGCAUCGGCUAACUCCGUGCCAGCAGCCGCGGUAAUACGGAGGAUGCGAGCGUUAUCCGGAUUUAUUGGGUUAAACGGGUGCGCAGGCGGAAGCUCAAGUCAGCGGUAAAAUUGAGAGGCAAAACCGGGUCGGGCAGUUGAAACUGGUUAUCUGGAGUGAGCGAGAAGUAGGCGGAAUGCGUGGUGUAGCGGGGAAAUGCAUAGAUAUCACGCAGAACUCCGGUUGCGAAGGCAGCAUGCCGGCGCUCAACUGACGCUCAUGCACGAAAGUGUGGGUAUCGAACAGGAUUAGAUACCCUUGUAGUC
RNAcentral lists this ribosomal RNA (459 nucleotides) under uncultured bacterium. RNAcentral's name for it is "partial 16S ribosomal RNA". It matches the Rfam family "Bacterial small subunit ribosomal RNA", at positions 338 to 795 of the family's 1533-position model. The record is from RNAcentral.